GCACAAGCGGUGGAGCAUGUGGUUUAAUUCGAUGCAACGCGAAGAACCUUACCUACUCUUGACAUCCAGCGAAUCCUUUAGAGAUAGAGGAGUGCCUUCGGGAACGCUGAGACAGGUGCUGCAUGGCUGUCGUCAGCUCGUGUUGUGAAAUGUUGGGUUAAGUCCCGCAACGAGCGCAACCCUUAUCCUUUGUUGCCAGCACGUGAUGGUGGGAACUCAAAGGAGACUGCCGGUGAUAAACCGGAGGAAGGUGGGGAUGACGUCAAGUCAUCAUGGCCCUUACGAGUAGGGCUACACACGUGCUACAAUGGCAGAUACAAAGAGAAGCGACCUCGCGAGAGCAAGCGGAACUCAUAAAGUCUGUCGUAGUCCGGAUUGGAGUCUGCAACUCGACUCCAUGAAGUCGGAAUCGCUAGUAAUCGUAGAUCAGAAUGCUACGGUGAAUACGUUCCCGGGCCUUGUACACACCGCCCGUCACACCAUGGGAGUGGGUUGCAAAAGAAGUAGGUAGCUUAACCUUCGGGAGGGCGCUUACCACUUUGUGAUUCAUGACUGGGGUGAAGUCGUAACAAGGUAGCCAAGGGCGAAUUCGCGGCC
This 597-nucleotide ribosomal RNA is filed under the name uncultured bacterium. RNAcentral describes it as "bacterial SSU rRNA". It matches the Rfam family "Bacterial small subunit ribosomal RNA", at positions 923 to 1519 of the family's 1533-position model. The record is from RNAcentral.